UGGGGAAUCUUAUACAAUGGGCGAAAGCCUGAUCUAGCGAUGCCGCGUGUGUGACGAGGGCCUUAGGGUCGUAAAGCACUUUCGCCAGGGAUGAUAAUGACAGUACCUGGUAAAGAAACCCCGGCUAAGUCCGUGCCAGCAGCCGCGGUAAUACGGAGGGGGUUAGCGUUGUUCGGAAUUACUGGGCGUAAAGCGGACGUAGGCGGACUAUUAAGUCAGGGGUGAAAUCCCGGGGCUCAACCCCGGAACAGCCUUUGAUACUGGUAGUCUUGAGUUCGAGAGAGGUGAGUGGAAUUCCGAGUGUAGAGGUGAAAUUCGUAGAUAUUCGGAGGAACACCAGUGGCGAAGGCGGCUCACUGGCUCGAUACUGACGCUGAGGUGCGAAAGCGUGGGGAGCAAACAGGAUUAGAUACCCGUGUAGUCC
Molecule: ribosomal RNA, 424 nt
Filed under: uncultured prokaryote
Description: bacterial SSU rRNA
Rfam family: Bacterial small subunit ribosomal RNA
Source: RNAcentral